This 491-nucleotide ribosomal RNA is filed under the name uncultured bacterium. RNAcentral's name for it is "partial 16S ribosomal RNA". It matches the Rfam family "Bacterial small subunit ribosomal RNA", at positions 29 to 507 of the family's 1533-position model. The record is from RNAcentral.
GUGAACGCUGGCGGUAGGCCUAACACAUGCAAGUCGCACGGCAGCACAGUAAGAGCUUGCUCUUACGGGUGGCGAGUGGCGGACGGGUGAGGAAUACAUCGGAAUCUACUUUUUCGUGGGGGAUAACGUAGGGAAACUUACGCUAAUACCGCAUACGACCUACGGGUGAAAGCAGGGGAUCUUCGGACCUUGCGCGAUUGAAUGAGCCGAUGUCGGAUUAGCUAGUUGGCGGGGUAAAGGCCCACCGAGGCGACGAUCCGUAGCUGGUCUGAGAGGAUGAUCAGCCACACUGGAACUGAGACACGGUCCAGACUCCUACGGGAGGCAGCAGUGGGGAAUAUUGGACAAUGGGCGCAAGCCUGAUCCAGCCAUACCGCGUGGGUGAAGAAGGCCUUCGGGUUGUAAAGCCCUUUUGUUGGGAAAGAAAAGCAGCAGGUUAAUACCCCGCUGUUCUGACGGUACCCAAAGAAUAAGCACCGGCUAACUUCGUG